Molecule: ribosomal RNA, 475 nt
Filed under: Escherichia coli
Lineage: Bacteria; Pseudomonadati; Pseudomonadota; Gammaproteobacteria; Enterobacterales; Enterobacteriaceae
Description: bacterial SSU rRNA
Rfam family: Bacterial small subunit ribosomal RNA
Source: RNAcentral
UACUGGAAACGGUAGCUAAUACCGCAUAACGUCGCAAGACCAAAGAGGGGGACCUUCGGGCCUCUUGCCAUCGGAUGUGCCCAGAUGGGAUUAGCUAGUUGGUGAGGUAACGGCUCACCAAGGCGACGAUCCCUAGCUGGUCUGAGAGGAUGACCAGCCACACUGGAACUGAGACACGGUCCAGACUCCUACGGGAGGCAGCAGUGGGGAAUAUUGCACAAUGGGCGCAAGCCUGAUGCAGCCAUGCCGCGUGUAUGAAGAAGGCCUUCGGGUUGUAAAGUACUUUCAGCGGGGAGGAAGGGAGUAAAGUUAAUACCUUUGCUCAUUGACGUUACCCGCAGAAGAAGCACCGGCUAACUCCGUGCCAGCAGCCGCGGUAAUACGGAGGGUGCAAGCGUUAAUCGGAAUUACUGGGCGUAAAGCGCACGCAGGCGGUUUGUUAAGUCAGAUGUGAAAUCCCCGGGCUCAACCUGGG